CGCCUCUUGUUUAGUUAAAACUUGUCUAACGUAACUAUUCUUUGGUGACUGUAUGAAGGUAUAGGCUACAGUGUUGUCAACAAAAACGCUAGACGCCAAAAUGUUUCUGUGUUACAGUGCCAAUCAUCGUAAUUUCUGGAGAAUUUCGUGUUCCUUACACGGAAUAAUUUAAGGGAUUCACUCUCGUAUUUAAAUGCGGUUGACUUUCUCAAACUUUACAGGGUGUACGUGUCCACAUUAAUACUGACAAUUAUAAACGAAAUCAAAGGCGGAUGCUGUGUAUGAAAAUGUGCCCAAAAAACGAUGAUCAAAUACUGUUUCUACUGGAAUUGAGUUCAUAGGACAAUAAGUCACACAUUUGUGGUUUUGUUCACAUAUUCUCCACCCGGAUGUCUCAGUUUUAUUUUGCCUCUUUGCAUUAAAUCCUUUUAUUUCAGCGAUUUUUUUUUUCUUUUCUUGUCUUGUCUUUUUUUUUUUUUUUUUUUUUUGCACAUAUAGCCUCUCAGUUGUUAUUGUGGUGUGUGAAAUAAUAAGUUAGUGGCUCACAAUAGCGCAUCAUUCAGAAACUCAGCUAAAUAUUCUCUAUCAUAUGGAAAUGUAGAUUCUUUAUUAAAAAUGUAUUCCAUCCUUCAA
This is a long non-coding RNA of Cyprinus carpio (common carp), 633 nucleotides long. RefSeq lists it as uncharacterized. NCBI's taxonomy places the organism in Eukaryota, Metazoa, Chordata, Actinopteri, Cypriniformes, Cyprinidae. The transcript has 2 exons. The record is from RefSeq and is a predicted model, not a curated record.